This 660-nucleotide ribosomal RNA is filed under the name uncultured bacterium. Its description in RNAcentral is "bacterial SSU rRNA". It matches the Rfam family "Bacterial small subunit ribosomal RNA", at positions 94 to 788 of the family's 1533-position model. The record is from RNAcentral.
GGUGGCGGACGGGUGAGUAACGCGUGAGAAUCUGCCUUGGGGUCGGGGACAACCACUGGAAACGGUGGCUAAUACCGGAUAAGCCGAUUGGUGAAAGAUUUAUUGCCCGAAGAGGAGCUCGCGUCUGAUUAGCUAGUUGGUGAGGUAAGAGCUCACCAAGGCAGCGAUCAGUAGCUGGUCUGAGAGGACGAUCAGCCACACUGGGACUGAGACACGGCCCAGACUCCUACGGGAGGCAGCAGUGGGGAAUUUUCCGCAAUGGGCGAAAGCCUGACGGAGCAAGACCGCGUGAGGGAGGAAGGCUCUUGGGUUGUAAACCUCUUUUCUCAGGGAAGAAGCUCUGACGGUACCUGAGGAAUCAGCCUCGGCUAACUCCGUGCCAGCAGCCGCGGUAAUACGGAGGAGGCAAGCGUUAUCCGGAAUUAUUGGGCGUAAAGCGUCCGCAGGUGGCGAUUCAAGUCUGCUGUCAAAGCACGGGGCUUAACUCCGUAAAGGCAGUGGAAACUGAAUAGCUAGAGUGCCGUAGGGGUAGAGGGAAUUCCCGGUGUAGCGGUGAAAUGCGUAGAGAUCGGGAAGAACAUCGGUGGCGAAAGCGCUCUACUGGACGGCAACUGACACUCAGGGACGAAAGCUAGGGGAGCGAAUGCGAUUAGAUACCCC